RNAcentral lists this ribosomal RNA (371 nucleotides) under uncultured bacterium. RNAcentral's name for it is "bacterial SSU rRNA". It matches the Rfam family "Bacterial small subunit ribosomal RNA", at positions 527 to 896 of the family's 1533-position model. The record is from RNAcentral.
GGGGGGGGCAAGCGUUGUUCGGAAUUACUGGGCGUAAAGGGCUCGUAGGUGGCCAACUAAGUCAGACGUGAAAUCCCCAGGCUUAACCUGGGAACUGCGUCUGAUACUGGAUGGCUUGAAUUCGGGAGAGGGAUGCAGAAUUCCAGGUGUAGCGGUGAAAUGCGUAGAUAUCUGGAGGAAUACCGGUGGCGAAGGCGGCAUCCUGGACCGAGAUUGACACUGAUGAGCGAAAGCCAGGGGAGCAAACGGGAUUAGAUGCCCCGGUAGUCCUGGCCCUAAACGAUGAAUGCUUGGUGUGACGGGUAUCGAUCCCUGUCGUGCCGAAGCUAACGCAUUAAGCAUUCCGCCUGGGGAGUACGGUCGCAAGGCUG